This 477-nucleotide ribosomal RNA is filed under the name uncultured bacterium. Its description in RNAcentral is "partial 16S ribosomal RNA". It matches the Rfam family "Bacterial small subunit ribosomal RNA", at positions 29 to 507 of the family's 1533-position model. The record is from RNAcentral.
AUGAACGCUGGCGGCGUGCUUAACACAUGCAAGUCGAACGAGAAGUGAAUACGGAAACCUUCGGGCGGAAGGCUUUAUUUCGAGUGGCGGACGGGUGAGUAACGCGUGGGUAACCUGCCUCAUACAGGGGGAUAACAGUUGGAAACGACUGUUAAUACCGCAUAAGACCACAGCACCGCAUGGUGCUGGGGUAAAAACUCCGGUGGUAUGAGAUGGACCCGCGUUCGAUUAGCCAGUUGGCGGGGUAACGGCCCACCAAAGCGACGAUCGAUAGCCGAUCUGAGAGGAUGACCGGCAACAUUGGGACUGAGACACGGCCCAAACUCCUACGGGAGGCAGCAGUGGGGAAUAUUGCACAAUGGGGGAAACCCUGAUGCAGCGACGCCGCGUGAGUGAAGAAGUAUUUCGGUAUGUAAAGCUCUAUCAGCAGGGAAGAAAAUGACGGUACCUGAGUAAGAAGCCCCGGCUAACUACGUG